UCAAGACUGCAUUUUAUGAUGAUGUUACUAAUGAAAGUGGCCUAAAAGAAGAGAUGGUGAAGGAAAUCACACCGGGAUACUAUGAUGAUGUCAUCACUGAUGGACUGAAACCAGAUCGUGAGACAGAAGACACACCUGAGAGCUAUGAUGAUGUCAUGACAAGGGGACAGAACUCUAUCAAAAAA
Molecule: long non-coding RNA, 185 nt
Organism: Cyprinus carpio (common carp)
Lineage: Eukaryota; Metazoa; Chordata; Actinopteri; Cypriniformes; Cyprinidae
Exons: 3
Source: RefSeq, a predicted model, not a curated record